AUACCAUGAUGCGGGCACUUCCUUAACAACUCUUUGAAUCUCUCCCAUGCAUCAUUCAACGAUUUGCCUUCAGUAUGGUAGAAAUUAUUAAUCUUCCUUCUCAACUU
Molecule: small nucleolar RNA, 107 nt
Organism: Humulus lupulus (European hop)
Lineage: Eukaryota; Viridiplantae; Streptophyta; Magnoliopsida; Rosales; Cannabaceae
Source: RefSeq, a predicted model, not a curated record